Regulatory RNA element from Enterococcus casseliflavus EC20, 235 nucleotides. It matches the Rfam family "T-box leader". Rfam says of the family: Uncharged tRNA acts as the effector for transcription antitermination of genes in the T-box leader family. T-boxes are found upstream of many aminoacyl-tRNA synthetase genes and some amino acid biosynthetic genes usually in Gram-positive bacteria. The anticodon of a specific tRNA base pairs to a specifier sequence within the T-box motif, and the NCCA acceptor tail of the tRNA base pairs to a conserved bulge in the T-box antiterminator hairpin. The record is from Rfam. Lineage: Bacteria; Bacillati; Bacillota; Bacilli; Lactobacillales; Enterococcaceae.
AAACAGACAUCGAAAAGAAGAGUAGCAAGGCUUGCUGUUUGAAGAGAGUCUCUGGUUGGUGCAAAGAGAUAACGCAUGGUUGUGAAACACAUCUUGGAGUCGUUUUUCCGAAAGAAAAGUAGGAGAGACCGGGUUUGCCCGUUACAGCAGCAGUCAUUGAUUGAUGACUUUCUGAGUUCAGUUGCUGUGAAGCACUGAUAAACAAAGGUGGAACCGCGUUGAUAACGUCCUUUAG